This 680-nucleotide long non-coding RNA is filed under the name Ovis aries (sheep). RNAcentral's name for it is "lncRNA (ENSOARG00000027020.1)". The record is from RNAcentral. Lineage: Eukaryota; Metazoa; Chordata; Mammalia; Artiodactyla; Bovidae.
AAUCUCUCCCAAAACUCACAGAAUUUUAUUUAUUUAAUGUUUUAGAGUCAGCUAUGAUUGUUUAUUAUUAUAGAAGAGGCAUCAAUUUCAUUCAGGUUUUUUUUUUAAUUUUUAUUUUUAAUUUAUUUUACAGUACUGUAUUGGUUUUGCCAUACAUUGACAUGACUCCACCACGGGUAUACAUGCGUUCCCAAACAUGAAACCCCCUCCCACCUCCUUCCCCAUAACAUCUCUCUGGGUCAUCACCAUGCACCAGCCCCAAGCAUGCUGUAUCCUGCAUCGGACAUAGACUGGCGAUUCGAUUCUUACAUGAUAGUAUACAUGUUACAAUGCCAUUCUCCCAAAUCAUCCCACCCUCUCCCUCUCCCUCUGAGUCCAAAAAUCCGUUAUACACAUCUGUGUCUUUUUUCCUGUCUUGCAUACAGGGUCAUCAUUGCCAUCUUUCUAAAUUCCAUAUAUAUGUGUUAGUAUACUAUAUUGGUGUUUUUCUUUCUGGCUUACUUCACUCUGUAUAAUCGGCUCCAGUUUCAGAUGGAAAGAAUUCUUAGUUUUAUUGAAGUAAAUUUUAUCAAUUUCUCCUUAAUGGUUUGUGUGUUGUCUUGUAAAUAUUUUCCUACUCAGAAAAUAUGAAGAUGUUCUCCCACAUUUUAUUCAAGAAGUUUUAUAAUUUUUACUUCCUA